ACGCUAGCUACAGGCUUAACACAUGCAAGUCGAGGGCAGCGGGUUGAAAGCUUGCUUUCAAUGCCGGCGAUCGGCGCACGGGUGCGUAACGCGUAUCAAACCUGCCUCAUACUCGGGGAUAGCCUUGCGAAAGUAAGAUUAAUACCCGAUGUUGUUGCUUUCUCGCAUGGGAGAGUAACCAAAGAUUUAUCGGUAUGAGAUGGUGAUGCGUCCGAUUAGGUAGUAGGCGGGGUAACGGCCCACCUAGCCUUCGAUCGGUAGGGGUUCUGAGAGGAAGGUCCCCCACACUGGAACUGAGACACGGUCCAGACUCCUACGGGAGGCAGCAGUGAGGAAUAUUGGUCAAUGGGCGAGAGCCUGAACCAGCCAAGUAGCGUGCAGGAUGACGGCCCUCCGGGUUGUAAACUGCUUUUAGUUGGGAAUAAAAAAAGGGACUUGUCCCUUCUUGUAUGUACCUUCAGAAAAAGGACCGGCUAAUUCCGUGCCAGCAGCCGCGGUAAUACGGAAGGUCCAGGCGUUAUCCGGAUUUAUUGGGUUUAAAGGGAGCGUAGGCGGAUUGUUAAGUCAGCGGUUAAAGGGUGUGGCUCAACCAUGCAUUGCCGUUGAAACUGGCGAUCUUGAGUGCAGACAGGGAUGCCGGAAUUCGUGGUGUAGCGGUGAAAUGCUUAGAUAUCACGAAGAACUCCGAUCGCGAAGGCAGGUGUCCGGGCUGCAACUGACGCUGAGGCUCGAAAGUGUGGGUAUCAAACAGGAUUAGAUACCCUGGUAGUCCACACAGUAAACGAUGUAUACUCGCGGUUUGCGAUAGAUUGUAAGCCGCCAAGCGAAAGCAUUAAGUAUACCACCUGGGGAGUACGCCGGCAACGGUGAAACUCAAAGGAAUUGACGGGGGCCCGCACAAGCGGAGGA
This 909-nucleotide ribosomal RNA is filed under the name uncultured bacterium. Its description in RNAcentral is "bacterial SSU rRNA". It matches the Rfam family "Bacterial small subunit ribosomal RNA", at positions 33 to 936 of the family's 1533-position model. The record is from RNAcentral.